CUUCUUCAGCUCUGCACAUUAUUAUGACUGUUUGACAUUGCUGGAACUCAAAUGCAAGUCCUGAUAGACUGGUUCUUAGCUGUUAAGCCAUGCCUUGAAUGAUGAAGAGUGCAUUUGACUAGUCCAGGAUAUCCUACGAGAUUUGUGUCAACCGUGCGUCUCUGAAGCAGAAGUUUGAAUCUUCACAAAUCUGAACUAUUUCAUAAGAAUCACAGGAUCCAAGAAUGCAAAUGGCUAAGUGGAAGAAUUCACUAAUAAUCCAGUUUCAAUCCAAAAUGAAGACUUCUCCAGAACUACCUAUCUCAUUU
Long non-coding RNA from Ahaetulla prasina, 308 nucleotides. RefSeq lists it as uncharacterized. The transcript is spliced from 3 exons. The record is from RefSeq and is a predicted model, not a curated record. Lineage: Eukaryota; Metazoa; Chordata; Lepidosauria; Squamata; Colubridae.